UAGGGAAUAUUGCAAAAUGGGCGAAAGCCCGAUGCAGCAACGCCGCGUGCGCGAUGAAGGCCUUCGGGUCGUAAAGCGCUUUUUAGAGGGAUGAGGAAGGACAGUACCUCUAGAAUAAGUCUCGGCUAACUACGUACCAGCAGCCGCGGUAAAACGUAGGAGGCAAGCGUUAUUCGGAUUUACUGGGCGUAAAGCGCGUGCAGGCGGUUUGGUAAGUUGGAUGUGAAAGCUCCUGGCUCAACUGGGAGGGGUCGUUCAAUACUACCAGACUAGAGGGCGGUAGAGGAAGGCGGAAUUCCGGGUGUAGUGUUGAAAUGCGUAGAUAUCCGGAGGAACACCAGUGGCGAAAGCGGCCUUCUGGACCGAUCCUGACGCUCAGACGCGAAAGCUAGGGUAGCAAACGG
This 404-nucleotide ribosomal RNA is filed under the name uncultured bacterium. Its description in RNAcentral is "bacterial SSU rRNA". It matches the Rfam family "Bacterial small subunit ribosomal RNA", at positions 355 to 775 of the family's 1533-position model. The record is from RNAcentral.